RNAcentral lists this microRNA precursor (202 nucleotides) under Oryza sativa Indica Group (long-grained rice). Its description in RNAcentral is "MIR812 microRNA precursor family". It matches the Rfam family "MIR812 microRNA precursor family". The record is from Rfam by way of RNAcentral. Lineage: Eukaryota; Viridiplantae; Streptophyta; Magnoliopsida; Poales; Poaceae.
AAUAGAUGACGUCGUUGACUUUUUGUCACACGUUUGACCAUUUGUUUUAUUCAAAAAAUUUAUGUAAUUAUAAUUUAUUUUGUUGAGUUGUUUUAACACUCAAAGUACUUUAAGCAUGAUUUAUACCUUAUACAUUUGCAUAAAAUUUUUGAAUAAAAUAAAUGGUCAAACAUGUGUUCAAAAGUCAACGGUGGCAUCUAUU